AUAAUUAGUUUGAGUUUCAUCCAUUAUUUGUUGGUUUUCAAACAUGACAAGGACAUCAGUCUUAUUGAAAUGUUCUUUUUUCAAGUUUUAAUUUUCAACUGUGGUCGAAUGCAGUUUGUUUGCUCCGUCAUGACAAACACGUUUGCUGUUCUUUGACAUAUAUUGUUUUUUGUUAUUUCGGCAAUUUCAAUUUAUUGAAAAAAAUUUUCUGUUCAAAUUAUCUCUUUGUUAAUUUUUUUUUGACGAAAUAUUCAUAAAUCACGAAACAGUCUAGUUAACAAUGUUUGGGAAUUAUAUUUUUCCCACUCGGUUCACAAAAAGAUCCUUAUUUGUUUUAAUUAACUUACUAAUUGCAUUAGUUCUUAUUUAUCACCUUCAUUUCGACAAGGAACACCAGCUCAAAAAAUUUGCCAGUAAUUUUAAUUUCUUGUUAACACAUGCGAUAGGUGAUAUCAGUGAUUCAUGUAAUCGGCCAAUCGGAAUUAGCAAUUUUCCGAAUUUGAUUCGAAAAUUUAAUGUUCCAAGAAAAAAUUGCACACAUCUCCCGAGAAAAAUGUCAAAAAAAGACUAUGAUACCUUCAUGCGCCUGUUAAAUUUAUCGCUGUCAGUUUUGGAUGAAAAUGAAAUUCCUUACACAGUUAGCGCUGGCGGACUAGUGGGUUCAUAUGUCAUGCACGACAUGUUGCCAUGGGAUGACGAUAUGGAUAUCAUGAUAAAUUACGACUCAAAAGAAAAAGUGAUCAACCUGUUCAAGGACGACAGACACUACGGGAUCCAAGGACUUCAGAGUCGUCAGAUGAACGGGGAUCUCAUCAAGUUAUUCUUUACUAACUCCGUCAAAGCGGGGGGAAAACCUUGGAACUGGCCCUUCAUAGACGUUGAGUCAUAUAUCGAGGAGGAAAAUGAGAUCAAAUUAGUUCACAGGUCAGACCGGAAAGUAGCAUGGCCUCGUGACUCAUACUUUCCAACACAUCUCCGUCCUUUUGGACCCCUCUGGCUCAAGUUUCCACGAGACCCCAGUGGAUACCUACUCGCUCACUACAAAAACCCUUUUCACUGCAAAACAUCCACUUGGGCCCACAAAGAGGAAAGGCGAUAGA
Molecule: long non-coding RNA, 1100 nt
Organism: Symsagittifera roscoffensis
Lineage: Eukaryota; Metazoa; Xenacoelomorpha; Acoela; Convolutidae
Exons: 5
Source: RefSeq, a predicted model, not a curated record